UACACUCCUACGGGAGGCAGCAUUGGGGAAUAUUGGACAAUGGGCGCAAGCCUGAUCCAGCCAUGCCGCGUGAGUGAUGAAGGCCCUAGGGUUGUAAAGCUCUUUCACCGGUGAAGAUAAUGACGGUAACCGGAGAAGAAGCCCCGACUAACUUCGUGCCAGCAGCCGCGGUAAUACGAAGGGGGCUAGCGUUGUUCGGAUUUACUGGGCGUAAAGCGCACGUAGGCGGACUAUUAAGUCAGGGGUGAAAUCCCGGGGCUCAACCCCGGAACUGCCUUUGAUACUGGUAGUCUUGAGUUCGAGAGAGGUGAGUGGAAUUCCGAGUGUAGAGGUGAAAUUCGUAGAUAUUCGGAGGAACACCAGUGGCGAAGGCGGCUCACUGGCUCGAUACUGACGCUGAGGUGCGAAAGCGUGGGGAGCAAACAGGAUUAGAUACCCCAGUAGUCCC
This 448-nucleotide ribosomal RNA is filed under the name uncultured organism. RNAcentral describes it as "partial 16S ribosomal RNA". It matches the Rfam family "Bacterial small subunit ribosomal RNA", at positions 332 to 797 of the family's 1533-position model. The record is from RNAcentral.